This 468-nucleotide ribosomal RNA is filed under the name uncultured bacterium. RNAcentral describes it as "partial 16S ribosomal RNA". It matches the Rfam family "Bacterial small subunit ribosomal RNA", at positions 28 to 507 of the family's 1533-position model. The record is from RNAcentral.
GACGAACGCUGGCGGCGUGCUUAACACAUGCCAGUCGAACGGAAAGGCCCUGCUUUUGUGGGGUGCUCGAGUGGCGAACGGGUGAGUAACACGUGAGUAACCUGCCCUUGACUUUGGGAUAACUUCAGGAAACUGGGGCUAAUACCGGAUAGGAGCUCCUGCUGCAUGGUGGGGGUUGGAAAGUUUCGGCGGUUGGGGAUGGACUCGCGGCUUAUCAGCUUGUUGGUGGGGUAGUGGCUUACCAAGGCUUUGACGGGUAGCCGGCCUGAGAGGGUGACCGGCCACAUUGGGACUGAGAUACGGCCCAGACUCCUACGGGAGGCAGCAGUGGGGAAUAUUGCACAAUGGGCGGAAGCCUGAUGCAGCAACGCCGCGUGCGGGAUGACGGCCUUCGGGUUGUAAACCGCUUUCGCCUGUGACGAAGCGUGAGUGACGGUAAUAGGUAAAGAAGCACCGGCUAACUACGUG